UGUAGGAGUGAGCCUGCUCGCGAUAGCGGUGUAUCAGUCGACAUUGAUGUGUCUGAUACACCCCUAUCGCGAGCAGGCUCACUCCUACA
Molecule: unclassified non-coding RNA, 89 nt
Filed under: Pseudomonas sp. Z003-0.4C(8344-21)
Lineage: Bacteria; Pseudomonadati; Pseudomonadota; Gammaproteobacteria; Pseudomonadales; Pseudomonadaceae
Source: RNAcentral